Oncorhynchus tshawytscha (Chinook salmon) is the source of this 1323-nucleotide long non-coding RNA. NCBI's taxonomy places the organism in Eukaryota, Metazoa, Chordata, Actinopteri, Salmoniformes, Salmonidae. The record is from Ensembl.
ACCCCAUCAUCAGAACACCAUCAUACCCUAUCAUCAUAACAUCAUAGGAACAUCAUCAUACCCUAUCAUCAGAACACCAUCACACCCCAUCAUCAGAACAUCAUCAGAACACCAUCAUACCCUAUCAUCAUAACAUCAUAGGAACAUCAUCAUACCCUAUCAUCAGAACACCAUCAUACCCCAUCAUCAUAACAUCAUCAGAACAUCAUCAUUCCCUAUCAUCAUAACAUCAUAGGAACAUCAUCAUACCCUAUCAUCAGAACACCAUCAUACCCUAUCAUCAUAACAUCAUCAAAACAUCAUCAGAACAUCAUCAGAACAUCAUCAUACCCUAUCAUCAGAACAUCAUCAUACCCCAUCAUCAUAUCAUCAGAACACCAUCAUACCCUAUCAUCAUAACAUCAUCAGAACACCAUCAUACCCAUCAUCAUAACAUCAUCAGAACAUCAUCAUACCCUAUCAUCAUAACAUCAUAGGAACAUCAUCAUACCCUAUCAUCAGAACACCAUCAUACCCUAUCAUCAUAACAUCAUAGGAACAUCAUCAUACCCUAUCAUCAGAACACCAUCAUACCCUAUCAUCAUAACAUCAUCAGAACAUCAUCAUACCCUGUCAUCAUAACAUCAUCAGAACAUCAUCAUACCCUAUCAUCAGAACAUCAUCAUACCCCAUCAUCAGAACACCAUCAUACCCUAUCAUCAGAACAUCAUCAGAACAUCAUCAUACCCUAUCAUCAUAACAUCAUCAUACCCUAUCAUCAGAACAUCAUCAGAACAUCAUCAUACCCUAUCAUCAGAACAUCAUCAUACCCCAUCAUCAUAUCAUCAUCAUACCCUAUCAUCAUAACAUCAUCAUACCCCAUCAUCAGAACACCAUCAUACCCUUUUCAUCAUCAUACCCCAUCAUCAGAACACCAUCAUAACCUAUCAUCAGAACACCAUCAUACCCGUCAUCAGAACACCAUCAUACCCCAUCAUCAGAACAUCAUCAUACCCCAUCAUCAGAACAUCAUCAGAACACCAUCAUACCCCAUCAUCAGAACAUCAUCAGAACACCAUCAUACCCUAUCAUCAUAACAUCAUCAGAACGUCAUCAGAACAUCAUCAUACCCUAUCAUCAGAACAUCAUCAUACCCUAUCAUCAGAACAUCAUCAGAACACCAUCAUACCCUAUCAUCAGAACAUCAUUAUACCCUAUCAUCAGAACACCAUCAUACCCGUCAUCAGAACACCAUCAUACCCCAUCAUCAGAACAUCAUCAGAACACCAUCAUACCCCAUCAUCAGAACAUCAUCAGAACAUCAUCAUACCCCAUCAUCAGCAC